UACGGGAGGCAGCAGUGGGGAAUAUUGCACAAUGGGCGCAAGCCUGAUGCAGCCAUGCCGCGUGUAUGAAAAAGGCCUUCGGGUUGUAAAGUACUUUCAGUCGUGAGGAAGGUGUUAAGGUUAAUAACCUUAGCAAUUGACGUUAGCGACAGAAGAAGCACCGGCUAACUCCGUGCCAGCAGCCGCGGUAAUACGGAGGGUGCGAGCGUUAAUCGGAAUUACUGGGCGUAAAGGGCACGCAGGCGGUUAAUUAAGUUGGAUGUGAAAUCCCCGGGCUUAACCUGGGAAUGGCAUUCAAGACUGGUUAGCUAGAGUCUUGUAGAGGGGGUAGAAUUCCAUGUGUAGCGGUGAAAUGCGUAGAGAUGUGGAGGAAUACCGGUGGCGAAGGCGGCCCCUGGACAAAGACUGACGCUCAUGUGCGAAAGCGUGGGGAGCAAACGAGGGAUUACGAUACC
RNAcentral lists this ribosomal RNA (455 nucleotides) under uncultured bacterium. RNAcentral's name for it is "bacterial SSU rRNA". It matches the Rfam family "Bacterial small subunit ribosomal RNA", at positions 340 to 786 of the family's 1533-position model. The record is from RNAcentral.